RNAcentral lists this ribosomal RNA (1575 nucleotides) under Escherichia coli 85B. RNAcentral's name for it is "bacterial LSU rRNA". It matches the Rfam family "Bacterial large subunit ribosomal RNA", at positions 1252 to 2812 of the family's 2925-position model. Lineage: Bacteria; Pseudomonadati; Pseudomonadota; Gammaproteobacteria; Enterobacterales; Enterobacteriaceae. The record is from RNAcentral.
GAAGGUGUGCUGUGAGGCAUGCUGGAGGUAUCAGAAGUGCGAAUGCUGACAUAAGUAACGAUAAAGCGGGUGAAAAGCCCGCUCGCCGGAAGACCAAGGGUUCCUGUCCAACGUUAAUCGGGGCAGGGUGAGUCGACCCCUAAGGCGAGGCCGAAAGGCGUAGUCGAUGGGAAACAGGUUAAUAUUCCUGUACUUGGUGUUACUGCGAAGGGGGGACGGAGAAGGCUAUGUUGGCCGGGCGACGGUUGUCCCGGUUUAAGCGUGUAGGCUGGUUUUCCAGGCAAAUCCGGAAAAUCAAGGCUGAGGCGUGAUGACGAGGCACUACGGUGCUGAAGCAACAAAUGCCCUGCUUCCAGGAAAAGCCUCUAAGCAUCAGGUAACAUCAAAUCGUACCCCAAACCGACACAGGUGGUCAGGUAGAGAAUACCAAGGCGCUUGAGAGAACUCGGGUGAAGGAACUAGGCAAAAUGGUGCCGUAACUUCGGGAGAAGGCACGCUGAUAUGUAGGUGAAGUCCCUCGCGGAUGGAGCUGAAAUCAGUCGAAGAUACCAGCUGGCUGCAACUGUUUAUUAAAAACACAGCACUGUGCAAACACGAAAGUGGACGUAUACGGUGUGACGCCUGCCCGGUGCCGGAAGGUUAAUUGAUGGGGUUAGCGCAAGCGAAGCUCUUGAUCGAAGCCCCGGUAAACGGCGGCCGUAACUAUAACGGUCCUAAGGUAGCGAAAUUCCUUGUCGGGUAAGUUCCGACCUGCACGAAUGGCGUAAUGAUGGCCAGGCUGUCUCCACCCGAGACUCAGUGAAAUUGAACUCGCUGUGAAGAUGCAGUGUACCCGCGGCAAGACGGAAAGACCCCGUGAACCUUUACUAUAGCUUGACACUGAACAUUGAGCCUUGAUGUGUAGGAUAGGUGGGAGGCUUUGAAGUGUGGACGCCAGUCUGCAUGGAGCCGACCUUGAAAUACCACCCUUUAAUGUUUGAUGUUCUAACGUUGACCCGUAAUCCGGGUUGCGGACAGUGUCUGGUGGGUAGUUUGACUGGGGCGGUCUCCUCCUAAAGAGUAACGGAGGAGCACGAAGGUUGGCUAAUCCUGGUCGGACAUCAGGAGGUUAGUGCAAUGGCAUAAGCCAGCUUGACUGCGAGCGUGACGGCGCGAGCAGGUGCGAAAGCAGGUCAUAGUGAUCCGGUGGUUCUGAAUGGAAGGGCCAUCGCUCAACGGAUAAAAGGUACUCCGGGGAUAACAGGCUGAUACCGCCCAAGAGUUCAUAUCGACGGCGGUGUUUGGCACCUCGAUGUCGGCUCAUCACAUCCUGGGGCUGAAGUAGGUCCCAAGGGUAUGGCUGUUCGCCAUUUAAAGUGGUACGCGAGCUGGGUUUAGAACGUCGUGAGACAGUUCGGUCCCUAUCUGCCGUGGGCGCUGGAGAACUGAGGGGGGCUGCUCCUAGUACGAGAGGACCGGAGUGGACGCAUCACUGGUGUUCGGGUUGUCAUGCCAAUGGCACUGCCCGGUAGCUAAAUGCGGAAGAGAUAAGUGCUGAAAGCAUCUAAGCACGAAACUUGCCCCGAGAUGAGUUCU